This 890-nucleotide ribosomal RNA is filed under the name Paracoccus sp. AI-21. Its description in RNAcentral is "bacterial SSU rRNA". It matches the Rfam family "Bacterial small subunit ribosomal RNA", at positions 33 to 965 of the family's 1533-position model. The record is from RNAcentral. Lineage: Bacteria; Pseudomonadati; Pseudomonadota; Alphaproteobacteria; Rhodobacterales; Paracoccaceae.
ACGCUGGCGGCAGGCCUAACACAUGCAAGUCGAGCGAGACCUUCGGGUCUAGCGGCGGACGGGUGAGUAACGCGUGGGAAUGUGCCCUUCUCUACGGAAUAGUCCCGGGAAACUGGGUUUAAUACCGUAUACGCCCUUCGGGGGAAAGAUUUAUCGGAGAAGGAUCAGCCCGCGUCUGAUUAGGUAGUUGGUGGGGUAAUGGCCUACCAAGCCUACGAUCAGUAGCUGGUUUUAGAGGAUGAUCAGCCACACUGGGACUGAGACACGGCCCAGACUCCUACGGGAGGCAGCAGUGGGGAAUCUUAGACAAUGGGCGCAAGCCUGAUCUAGCCAUGCCGCGUGAGUGAUGAAGGCCUUAGGGUCGUAAAACUCUUUCGCCAGGGAUGAUAAUGACAGUACCUGGUAAAGAAGCCCCGGCUAACUCCGUGCCAGCAGCCGCGGUAAUACGGAGGGGGCUAGCGUUGUUCGGAAUUACUGGGCGUAAAGCGCGCGUAGGCGGACUAUUAAGUCAGGGGUGAAAUCCCGGGGCUCAACCCCGGAACUGCCCUUGAUACUGGUAGUCUUGAGUUCGAGAGAGGUGAGUGGAAUUCCGAGUGUAGAGGUGAAAUUCGUAGAUAUUCGGAGGAACACCAGUGGCGAAGGCGGCUCACUGGCUCGAUACUGACGCUGAGGUGCGAAAGUGUGGGGAGCAAACAGGAUUAGAUACCCUGGUAGUCCACACCGUAAACGAUGAAUGCCAGUCGUCGGCAAGCAUGCUUUGUCGGUGACACACCUAACGGAUUAAGCAUUCCCGCCUGGGGGAUUCCNGUCCCAAGAAUUAAAACUCAAAGGAAUUGGCGGGGGCCCGCACAAGCCGGUGGAGCCUGUGGUUUAAUUCGAAGCAACGCGCA